Molecule: ribosomal RNA, 247 nt
Filed under: uncultured bacterium
Lineage: Bacteria
Description: partial 16S ribosomal RNA
Rfam family: Bacterial small subunit ribosomal RNA
Source: RNAcentral
AGAUGGCGACCGGCGCACGGGUGAGUAACACGUAUCCAACCUGCCGAUAACUCGGGGAUAGCCUUUCGAAAGAAAGAUUAAUACCCGAUGGCAUAAUUAGACCGCAUGGUCUUAUUAUUAAAGAAUUUCGGUUAUCGAUGGGGAUGCGUUCCAUUAGGCAGUUGGCGAGGUAACGGCUCACCAAACCUUCGAUGGAUAGGGGUUCUGAGAGGAAGGUCCCCCACAUUGGAACUGAGACACGGUCCAA